GCCUGUUUAGUAGAGAUCACUAGAAAAAGUGAAUCUGGAUAUGGAAUUCACCAUGGAUCAACGCUACCAUGGAUUUGACAUCCACCAUGGAUCUACCAGAGAACCAUUUGGUGGGAGUGGCAUGUUCGGCCCUUGGGUUGUAAUGUGAUACAUGUACCAUGUGUCUUUUGUUUUAGUGUAUUUUUAACACAAAUGCAAUAUGUUGGCACACAAGAUAGAAAAUUAUUUAACGG
Molecule: long non-coding RNA, 233 nt
Filed under: Sorghum bicolor (sorghum)
Lineage: Eukaryota; Viridiplantae; Streptophyta; Magnoliopsida; Poales; Poaceae
Description: long non-coding RNA (SBIC_LNC007620)
Source: RNAcentral